AAUCAACGCUGGCGGCGUGCCUAACACAUGCAAGUCGAACGCGAAAGCCCUUUCGGGGGUUAGUAGAGUGGCGUCCGGGUGAGUAACACGUAGGUAAUCUACCUCUGGGUGGGGAAUAACUCGUCGAAAGGCGAGCUAAUACCGCAUAAUGCAGCGGCACCGAAUGGUGAUUUAGUUGUUAAAGCGGGGGACCGAAAGGCCUCGCGCCUAGAGAGGAGCCUGCGGCAGAUUUAGCUUGUUGGNGAGGUAAUGGCUCACCAACGGCUUCGAUCUGUAGCUGGUCUGAGAGGACGGCCAGCCACACUGGCACUGACACACGGGCCAGACUCCUACGGGAGGCAGC
Molecule: ribosomal RNA, 343 nt
Filed under: uncultured bacterium
Lineage: Bacteria
Description: bacterial SSU rRNA
Rfam family: Bacterial small subunit ribosomal RNA
Source: RNAcentral